Long non-coding RNA from Apis florea (little honeybee), 1867 nucleotides. The record is from RefSeq and is a predicted model, not a curated record. Lineage: Eukaryota; Metazoa; Arthropoda; Insecta; Hymenoptera; Apidae.
AUAUGAAGAAUUUUAAACGAUUCAACUGAUUUCCUAUAAACAUUCGAUUCUAACCUUAUCUUUGAUCAAUUACACUAAACUCAUUUCACACUUUUACACUUUUACUUCCACUAAAAACUAAAUCAUUUUCUUAAAAUAUAUCAAUUUUUAAAUAGUUUAAACGGAAACAAUCACUGGUUCAAUCAACCACAUUCCGUUUUGUCCGACAAUUGACGAAGUAAAGAAUGCGCGUGCCUAUAUAUAAACUUACACGAAACGAUUGCCGAAAGCUCUGGCGGUAAAUAUCGCUGCGAGUUCUAGAUGGGUCUAUUCGCGAAAGGGAUCAGAAAACAGUCGGUAGAGAGCGCCGCCGCGUGCUCGAGGACAAACGAGCAGUGGGGGGUACGCGUGGGCUGCAUGGUGUCGACGAAGGCAUCGGAAGCGCGAUUUAUCGCGCGCACACUCCGCGAAGAAAGAGUCGUCCCGCUGGUGGUCGUUAAUUCUUGUCGCACGUGUCCCACCGCUUUGAUCACGCGAGUAUGCUAAUUGCACCGUCCACCGCCCACUCGCUGCCAGUGCAUGGAAAAUCGUCGAGAGUUGACAGCGACCAAAAGUAAGAGGAAGAUGAAGGAAGAGAAGAAGGAUCAUGAUGAUGGAAGAGGGAAGGAAUAGCAGAAAGAAGACCAAGAGAAGAAAGAAGAAAAAGUGGAAGAAAGAGAAGAAACUUAACUUGAGUCGAGUGGGAUGGAUUUUGCCAUUCUCCAUUGGCGUGUACGUUCUGUUGGCACAUGCGCAAGUACCGAUUCCAAACAUCGAAAGACAUGCUAGGAAUAUAGGAUAAUCAGCUUAACAUUUUGUUGCGACGCAUUUUGUUUUUGAUACAUAAAUUAAAUGAAAGAAAAGUAAAAUAGAUACAUUGAAUUGAUGGUUUGAUGACUUGUUGAAAUAUGAAGAUUAGUUUUUAUGAUUAGAAAUGAAAAUGAAAAAUAGAAUUUAAAUUUAAUAAGUUAAUUAUAAUAAUGAUAAAUUGUAGUAAAUGUUAAACUCAUAUCUGGAAAUAUAAUUGUAAGUACAAAAAGAACUAUAAAAAGAAAUCAUAAAUCUUCAAUUCAUAGAAAUGCGAUUGAAUUAUCUAAAAUCAGAAAUUAUUAUGAGAAAAUACAACAUACAAUACUAUGAUUAUUAACACUCGAUUUAAAUUAUUUUCAAAUAACUCAAUUUUUAAAGAAAAUUUAAUUAGAAACAUUCAUAAAGAAGAAUAUAUCUCAUCGACAAAAAUGAUGUAAGUAAUAUCCGUUUUGAUAUUAAAUUUUUGUUUCAUAGUCACAUUUUUCCAGCCAUUACAGUUUCCGUGAAAAUAUAACUUAAUGGACCAAAACGAAUUUCUAUGGAGAAGAAAGUAUGUCUGUGGUUUUCCAGGGGUAAAAAGGACGGUGCACGCGCCGCUUGCAGAAACGUUUCGUAAAUUCGAAGAAUGGCUGGAAAGAAGUGGCCGCCACACAAAGCGUGCCGACACAACCGGGCUCGUUUGCCCCGCGGAGGUAAUUGUCUUCUUGGCCGCACGAGAGCGCACGUAUUCCGCAAGCAAAUACACACCAAGAGGCUGGCUUACAUACAGCGUUCUCACGGGAUGGAGAAUAAACACCAUGGUCCGGUCUGUUACCGACUUUUCAACUUUUCGUUUCCUGGACACGGUUUGUUGGAACAUUCUCUCAUUCGUUCAGUUGUCGAUUUGUGGAUAACGAAUUGCAGUGAAUAGAAGAAACUUUUAUAUUGUUUAUAUUGAUGUUAUAUUUUAUUUCUCUUUUUCAAGAGAAGAAUUCUUGUAAUUGUAGAUAACAUUUAAAAAGUAGAAAAUAAAUGAGAUUAUAAAAAUGAAAAAAAAAAG